RNAcentral lists this unclassified non-coding RNA (378 nucleotides) under Hevea brasiliensis (rubber tree). Lineage: Eukaryota; Viridiplantae; Streptophyta; Magnoliopsida; Malpighiales; Euphorbiaceae. The record is from RNAcentral.
CCUUCCUCAGCAAGUACAAAAAGUUGUUCAGUUCACUUCUUCUAAUUUGAGGUCGAAUCUCACUGCUUAUCUUCAACAGAAUGUUCAACCUAGAUUGCCCGGGCAUGAUGAAAAGGCUGAAGAGGAUAGAGCGACUACUGAUGUUGUCAGUCGUGAUCCUCCCAUUGUGUCUCCAGGAACGGAAAGCAGCUCUAUUGUGAAUAAAAUUUCAUCUUCACCUGGCCCAACCACAACUUCUUUGCCUGAAUCUUCAUUCUCCUCACUUUCUCAUUCCCCCACCAAUUCAGCUGUAAGUACGGAGCAUGUGGUUGGAACGAAUAUUUCAUGCCACAAUAAGGUUAUUCUUCAUCCACGCGGGACAAACAUGACAUAUCCUCC